Molecule: long non-coding RNA, 528 nt
Organism: Ostrea edulis (European flat oyster)
Lineage: Eukaryota; Metazoa; Mollusca; Bivalvia; Ostreida; Ostreidae
Exons: 2
Source: RefSeq, a predicted model, not a curated record
AAAAAAUUCCUCAAAUCCUGACCUUCAUGGACAAGAUGGAGUGGUCUGGGGAAUUGAAUUGUUUAUAGAGAAGUUGGUUACCACCAUUAUUUAUUUGAAAUCUGUGUUCCGAUAUUAUUUUAUUAAGUGGACCCUUAAGUCUCAAUAUACCUGGCGAAUUGCCAAUACGAAGCUAAAGUGACCAGGGUUAAAAUGUAAUAUGUUAAAAGAGUAUUUUAUAGAAUUUAAAUAGUUUCAUUGUUAUUGAUAUCUGUAUUAAUAUAGGGAGGUGACCAUUCUACAUUGAUCCAGUGCCUUUUUAUGGGAUUCGAAACUGACUGUGAGAUGUAUGAGAGUUUGACUUCUAGGCGGGCAAUUCUACUUUCACUUUAAACGGAUGGCAGGUGCCUGAGUGUAUCUCGACCCAUUUCCAGGCUAGCAUCAGAUGUCAUGAUGGACCUUUAAAAUCUUUCACAUGUGUGCUUUCAAGAACCAUAUACAUUAUUUUUGAAAAUUGGUUGCCAUGGUAAUAAAAUCUGAAAAUUAAAA